Molecule: non-coding RNA, 2486 nt
Organism: Lolium perenne
Lineage: Eukaryota; Viridiplantae; Streptophyta; Magnoliopsida; Poales; Poaceae
Source: RefSeq, a predicted model, not a curated record
AAGCGGCUUGGUGGCGGUGAAAGCCAGGACACACUCUCUGAAGUCCUGGCUGGCAUCACGUCUCCUGUUGACACUGGAUUCUUUUGCAAAAGUGCCGAUUCUUCAACUAUGUAUACUGUCACCUCCAUGGUACGUCCACAGCAAAUUGUUAUUUUCUCCUAAAUUGGUUUGUUAAAAGAACUGAACAAAUACUUCUGUCAGCUAUUUGGUAUUGGUUGAUACAUUCAUUGACCUGCAAAUUUACAAGUUAUGUUGAUUAUUGUUACUUCUUCCUUGGCUGUGGUUCGAUGCUACGUCAAUUUUGAGAUGUGCCCGAUGCUUCUCAUUAUCAGCAUAAAUGUUGUGUUAUACUCACAAAUGGAGAGGAACCAAGUUUUUAUUAGUGUAAGAUUGAAGCAAGGCUCCUGUUAUUGUGGAAUAAAAUGGAGCACGGUACUAUAUGGCACUGCCACCAGGUUCAAACUGCUAGGUUACCUUGACAAGGCAUUUCUGCUAUUUCUAAAGAAUUGGAUAAUGGGUUUGACUAUGAUACGUCAUAACUGAGUUGGUGAUAUCAUAUAAUUGCUUGAGGAUAUGUUUGCAAGUUAUCAAAUCGGUCCUAUCUGUGGUAUACGUUCUCCUGUCUACUUCAUAGAUAUCAAAAUAUUUGAGAGAUUCAACAGAAGAAUUUUGACAAGAAUCAACAGCAUGUGUGAUCCUAAUGUUGCUAAGGUUUUUUGUUAAACUUCCAAUUGAUUGAACAUCGGAGAACUAUCAUAUGUAGGUAACCUGGUUGAACCUUGUAACCUCUGCUGCUCUCACACGUAUAUCUUGCAAUAUUUUCCGUCUCUUCAUAUAUAAUAGGAAAUGGUCUCAUGAAAUCACAUGGAGUGUUUGCAGAACAUAAGCUGGAGUAACCCUUUUUGUGCCUCUCUCUCUCUUCCCUGCUGUUCCAGUUGUGCUUGAUGCAGAACAAAGAUUGGUGAACCGUUUCACAGCUCAUUAUGUGUCUGCACUAGAAUUUGCAAGGUUUCUUAGCUGUGCACACUUGGUCCUUCAGCUGAGCGUAAACACCAUUCUUGCAUCAUAAAGGGCAUUUAGGUGUUCCGGUGUCAUGAACUCAUGAUGAGCUAUGGGGAUCCCAAAGAUGAAAACUUGAUCCUAGGAAUCUCAAAAGAAGGUCUAAUAUCUUGUGUGAACAAAUAAGUCAGAUGAUUUCUCUGUUUGUGUAAUUCCAAUUUUGGUAUGCAAGUAUGAUCAGGACCACUUGGUGUGGCCUACGCGCAUUUGUUCUUUGAUUCUUAGUGAGGAUCCUGCUAUAUUCUUAUUGAAGGAAAUGUCACUACUUCAAGUGUACUUAUUGUAUGUGUUGAUUGUACCCAAAAAAAUAUGAUAUUUAUACACAUUUAUUUCUCUAUGCUAUGAACAAAUUGUUGGAUGCAACAAAUGUUGCUCCUGUGUUGUACAUGUGUUAUCUGUCUUUGAAAGUUUUUUUUUAUUUUCUUUUAAAAGGAUUGCUUAUACAAGCUUAAGGGCUGUCAAAGACAUACUGAAUUCUUGGAAAACUAAACAGACAUCAGUCGACUAAAACUUAUGUUUUUAUGUUCUUUAAAAAAUAUUGCCUAUAUGGGCUUAAGGGCUCUCAAAGACCUACUGAAUUCUUGGACAACUAAACAAACAUAAACAUCGUAAAACAUAUGGUUAUAGUAAUAUGUUGCAUUUGCCUGUGCGCCGGCCGCCGGGGUGCACCGGGUCAUCUAUGUUAGGUUCAAUGAACAAUUUGUGUUUGAUCAUGAAUGAACCCUUCGGAAUUUUAAGAUGCAGCAUAAUUUAUAAAUGGCACGCCGUCAAAUGCACAUUAUUGUACUACGGUACGGCCUUGAUUGAAUGUCCUGACAGAAUUAUUAACUUUCAUAUUUUGUGUGUAAUAAGACCUGCUUGUUGUGCUCACUAACUUAUGUUUCAGGUCCUCAUGCUACAUUAGGUGUUCUCGGGGAAAAAUACUGUGUAUUUAGCAUAUAAGGAACCUGAGCACAAAAUCAAAUGGCUGAUAUGUAGCAUGCAUCUAAGGUUAGAUGUUUCCAUUUUUUAGUUCCAUAGAUGAGAAGACGUGACUCAGGCAGGCUGAUACUGUCACCAUCGCAGGGCGGCGUGCACUUGAGAUUCCGCUCGAGAUCGAUCAGAUUCGACCGGAUUUUGUAGUCAGUCGAGUUGUAGUGUUCAGGAAUCAGAACUUGUAAGGUUGUUAAAUUUCAAAGAUGUAAACUGGUAUGAGUUUCAGAAUUAUAUGGUCAUAUCCUCUAUUUUUAUCCCAAGGCUGCUAAUGUACGAGUUUCACAUUUUUGUGCACUAUCGAAUCAUCUACUACAAUGUCCAGGCUAGAUGGAAUGGUGUUCAGUUAGAGAAGAUAGAUGAUCUUGCUUGGUAGCUUAUCAUAUGUACUGUCUCUUUUGAUUUUGCUUGUUGAUCUUCAGAUAGUAUUUUUGCUGGCAGACCUUCUAUAAACA